Molecule: non-coding RNA, 202 nt
Organism: Caenorhabditis elegans
Lineage: Eukaryota; Metazoa; Nematoda; Chromadorea; Rhabditida; Rhabditidae
Source: Ensembl
AGUGUAAUAUAAUGUUUGAAUUGUUUUCUUUUUUGAUAUUUUUGAUUACAAUCAACCAUCAGCUGCUGCUGCUGCUGUGUUUUUCACUUGUUUGUUCUAUUUCUUAAACUGAGAAUUGGGAUGGUUGAUGUUGUGGUUUUUCUUUUGGUGAAUGCAUGUGUGGUCAAGCAAUUUCCUCCAAAAUUUAUGGACACAUUUCAAA